This 549-nucleotide ribosomal RNA is filed under the name uncultured Glomus. RNAcentral describes it as "SSU rRNA". It matches the Rfam family "Eukaryotic small subunit ribosomal RNA", at positions 548 to 1098 of the family's 1831-position model. Lineage: Eukaryota; Fungi; Glomeromycota; Glomeromycetes; Glomerales; Glomeraceae. The record is from RNAcentral.
UUGGAGGGCAAGUCUGGUGCCAGCAGCCGCGGUAAUUCCAGCUCCAAUAGCGUAUAUUAAAGUUGUUGCAGUUAAAAAGCUCGUAGUUGAAUUUCGGGAUUAGCAGGUCGGUCGUGCCACUGGUACGUACUGGUCUUGCUGAUUCCUCCCUCUUGACGAGCCGUAAUGCCAUUAAUUUGGUGUUGCGGGGAAUCAGGACUGUUACUUUGAAAAAAUUAGAGUGUUUAAAGCAGGCAUGCGCUUGAAUACAUUAGCAUGGAAUAAUGAAAUAGGACGUUCGAUCUUAUUUUGUUGGUUUCUAGGAUUGACGUAAUGAUUAAUAGGGAUAGUUGGGGGCAUUAGUAUUCAAUUGUCAGAGGUGAAAUUCUUGGAUUUAUUGAAGACUAACUACUGCGAAAGCAUUUGCCAAGGAUGUUUUCAUUAAUCAAGAACGAAAGUUAGGGGAUCGAAGACGAUCAGAUACCGUCGUAGUCUUAACUAUAAACUAUGCCGACUAGGGAUCGGAUGAUGUUAAUUUUUUAAUGACUCAUUCGGCGCCUUACGGGAAAC